Molecule: ribosomal RNA, 206 nt
Filed under: uncultured bacterium
Lineage: Bacteria
Description: partial 16S ribosomal RNA
Rfam family: Bacterial small subunit ribosomal RNA
Source: RNAcentral
UGCGUAGGCGGGUUCUUAAGUCAGAGGUGAAAUCCUGGAGCUCAACUCCAGAACUGCCUUUGAUACUGAGAGUCUUGAGUUCGGGAGAGGUGAGUGGAACUGCGAGUGUAGAGGUGAAAUUCGUAGAUAUUCGCAAGAACACCAGUGGCGAAGGCGGCUCACUGGCCCGAUACUGACGCUGAGGCACGAAAGCGUGGGAGCAAACA